GCUGGCGGCGUGGAUUAGGCAUGCAAGUCGCGCGAUCCUUGCUUGAUGCUUAUUGGAGUGCUUGCACAAAGAUAAGCGGAUAGCGCUGGAUAGCGGCAAACGGGUGAGUAACACGUGAGAAAUUUUCCCAAAAGCCGAACAUAGCUUCGUGAAAACGGAGGUAAUAUUCGAUGUGGCCCUUGAAUCGCAUGGUUGAAGGGUUAAAGGUGGGGACCUUCGGGCCUACCGCUUUUGGAUGGUCUCGCGGCCUAUCAGCUUGUUGGUGAGGUAACGGCUCACCAAGGCGUAUGACGGGUAGCUGGUCUGAGAGGAUGGUCAGCCACACUGGGACUGAGACACUGCCCAGACUCCUACGGGAGGCUGCAGUCGAGAAUCUUUAGCAAUGGGCGAAAGUCUGACUAUGCGACGCCGCGUGCAGGAUGAAGGUUUUCGGAUCGUAAACUGCUUUUGUCAGGAAAGAAUACCCAGCUUUUUAAUAAAGGGCUGGGCUGACGGUACCUGACGAAUAAGCCACGGCCAACUCCGUGCCAGCAGCCGCGGUAA
This 543-nucleotide ribosomal RNA is filed under the name uncultured bacterium. RNAcentral's name for it is "bacterial SSU rRNA". It matches the Rfam family "Bacterial small subunit ribosomal RNA", at positions 35 to 523 of the family's 1533-position model. The record is from RNAcentral.